AUACCCUCCGUUCCCACGAUCCACCUGGAUUCACCCGGACGUCCCUGAAGACGACCUGGAUCGUGCCUGUAAAAUCAUCCGGAGUCGAGCGAUGGCGGCGACAGAUGGACAUGAAAGAUCACCAAGGACGACCCCGAAUAAAGCCAAGGUCCUGAAGGACAAGCAGACGCGCGGCUGGACUGAGAAGCAGCAGAAAGAGACAGAUGACACGGGUCUGCACAUGCAGUACAAGGAGGACAAGAAGCAAUGCCUCAGUGGCUUCAUUCUCCCUUCACUUAAUACCUCAGGCUUCGCACAUGCUUCGAGAGUCGCACAUGUGACAAGCCCUGCGACGAAAGCAAAGGUGAAAGCGGAUAAAGGCGAAGAAGAGAGACAGCAGCUGGACAAAGUACCGCCUGAGAAGAAGCGUGCCACUGGAAGCAGCAGACGAGACAAAGAUCACAGAAAGGGGCACGGCCAACACUUCCCUGCUAAACUAACCAGGGAUACAUGUGAGAGUGAAGAUGAGCCAGAUACGAAAAGUGGCUCCGACAGCAAUCGAAGUAAUGAUGAUGAUUUUCCUCCUCUACCUGGGGUGCGAAUUUGCUGCACUGAUAGCAGUGGAGCUGACUCACUGAGUGACACAAAUGAGGUGGAGGAAAAUGAAACAGUGCAGGCCUCCAACGGUCCGAGCUCUGACACAGAGCAGGAUCCUCACAAAUGCUUCCCUCCAAAAUCCACAAACCAGGCUGGCCGUCUCCUCCAUCCCACUGAGCCCUCGGCCCUGGGGAGCAAUCGGUGGGUGGUUCCCCUUCCCCUUAAAAACGCCCUGGAGUCAGGGCACAAGUCUAUGAUCUGUUGGCGGACUUCCCGGCCCUCCAGCCCCCGGCGAAUCCCUCCCUGUUUCCUGAAUCGAGUCAUGGGAAUCCCAAGACCAAUGCUGCGGAAGAGAAACGAGGUCUUCCUCACUGGCCAAAGUAUUGCCAACACAGUAGGGCUCCCCAUGUGAGGAGAGUGGAAAAAAUCCCCUGUGAGGUCUCCUCCAUCUGUUCCGGAUAUCAGAAAUCAAAGCAGAACCUUCUAGUGUGUGGACAGGCCAACCGCCAGACACCUUCUAGAGGGGGGGCGAUGGCUGAAAAAUUCCUUUGCAGCAGAGGAGAGCGCCGCUUUUUAAAGCAUCUGACGUAAGGCGACCCAGACAGGGCGGCUCACGCGAGAAAUGGCUGAAGCACUAAUCCUUUGCGCCUCGGCGUGCGUGCGGCAGUUGCAGCUGGACACUCUGCUGCUCAAAAGUUUGCCGACAAAGGGACUUCUUCACUCAACAUCUGAGGAAGCAAAACUUGAAUAAAUUUGACUCCUCAAACGAAUGACUUGAUCCGACCGACCCGACUCAGCAGGAGAAACGUCAGUCAGGAAGAGCCGUCUACGAAUGUUAUUGAAUUUAUGCUUUGUGUACAAAGCUCAUUAAAAAAGAAAGAAAAAAAAUUUACACAUCUGUC
RNA transcript from Oryzias melastigma (Indian medaka), 1478 nucleotides. RefSeq lists it as uncharacterized. The record is from RefSeq and is a predicted model, not a curated record. The transcript has 5 exons. NCBI's taxonomy places the organism in Eukaryota, Metazoa, Chordata, Actinopteri, Beloniformes, Adrianichthyidae.